CGGAGGUUCGUCGUGUUGUUCGUC
RNAcentral lists this non-coding RNA (24 nucleotides) under Arabidopsis thaliana (thale cress). The record is from RNAcentral. Lineage: Eukaryota; Viridiplantae; Streptophyta; Magnoliopsida; Brassicales; Brassicaceae.